GACGAACGCUGGCGGCGUGCCUAAUACAUGCAAGUUGAGCGCUGAAGGUUGGUACUUGUACCAACUGGAUGAGCAGCGAACGGGUGAGUAACGCGUGGGGAAUCUGCCUUUGAGCGGGGGACAACAUUUGGAAACGAAUGCUAAUACCGCAUAAAAACUUUAAACACAAGUUUUAAGUUUGAAAGAUGCAAUUGCAUCACUCAAAGAUGAUCCCGCGUUGUAUUAGCUAGUUGGUGAGGUAAAGGCUCACCAAGGCGAUGAUACAUAGCCGACCUGAGAGGGUGGUCGGCCACAUUGGGACUGGGACACGGCCCAAACUCCUUCGGGAGGCAGCAGUAGGGGAUCUUCGGCCAUGGACGGAAGUCUGAACGGGCAACGCCGCGUGAGUGAAGAAGGUUUUCGGAUCGUAAAACUCUGUUGGUAGGGAAGAACGUUGGUGAGAGUGGAAAGCGCAUCAAGUGACGGUAACUACCCAGAAAGGGACGGCUAACUACGUG
Molecule: ribosomal RNA, 497 nt
Filed under: uncultured bacterium
Lineage: Bacteria
Description: partial 16S ribosomal RNA
Rfam family: Bacterial small subunit ribosomal RNA
Source: RNAcentral